GGAUGAUGGAACGGCCGUGUUCUUUUUGGGAGCAUGAGGUGCUACUGGUCUAGAGCUUACGGUUGGGAGUGAGAUUUUGAGGGGCCAGGACGAUCCCUUGUGUGGGGGAACAUUGGACUAUCUCCAAGGUCUCAAGGGAGGAAAGGAUGCUAUAUUGCUACCAGUGCCAAAACACAAGGCUGAAUGAAAUCACUAGAGAACUUCUAGGAAAGCCAUUGGAAUCACUUCACCGUUAGUGGAACCAUUGAGGCAGUGGAUGAAGACAAUGCAGAUGAUGCCAGUGAAGGUGACGAUGUAACUCUCAGAAUCAUUGAACUGCCAGUUCGGAAGUGGACUCAAGAUUAUAAGGAGUUUUAAAGAGAGGCAGAGAUCAAAUGAUGCAGCGAGUAUUCGGUGCUAACGAGUCCUUUGAUUUUGUCAAAGAUGCUUCUGAUCAGGGCGAGGAACUUCACGACUGUUCUUUCUGUUGUUAGGCCGAUCGUGUGCGAAUCGCGUUUCAUUUCUCUAAACUUAGCCAUGUAUUUUUUAUGCUUAGCUAUGAUUUCUAUAUAUGUAACCUACAUUAAAU
Long non-coding RNA from Spinacia oleracea (spinach), 568 nucleotides. RefSeq lists it as uncharacterized. The transcript has 3 exons. The record is from RefSeq and is a predicted model, not a curated record. NCBI's taxonomy places the organism in Eukaryota, Viridiplantae, Streptophyta, Magnoliopsida, Caryophyllales, Amaranthaceae.